Molecule: ribosomal RNA, 549 nt
Filed under: uncultured Glomus
Lineage: Eukaryota; Fungi; Glomeromycota; Glomeromycetes; Glomerales; Glomeraceae
Description: SSU rRNA
Rfam family: Eukaryotic small subunit ribosomal RNA
Source: RNAcentral
UUGGAGGGCAAGUCUGGUGCCAGCAGCCGCGGUAAUUCCAGCUCCAAUAGCGUAUAUUAAAGUUGUUGCAGUUAAAAAGCUCGUAGUUGAAUUUCGGGAUCAAUAUGUUGGUCGUGCCAUUGGUACGUACUGGCAUUAUUGGUUUCUACCUUCUGAAGAACCUCGAUGUCAUUAAUUUGGUGUCUUGGGGAAUCAGGACUGUUACUUUGAAAAAAUUAGAGUGUUUAAAGCAGGCUCGCGCUUGAAUACAUUAGCAUGGAAUAAUGAAAUAGGACGUUUGAUUCUAUUUUGUUGGUUUCUAGGAUCGACGUAAUGAUUAAUAGGGAUAGUUGGGGGCAUUAGUAUUCAAUUGUCAGAGGUGAAAUUCUUGGAUUUAUUGAAGACUAACUACUGCGAAAGCAUUUGCCAAGGAUGUUUUCAUUAAUCAAGAACGAAAGUUAGGGGAUCGAAGACGAUCAGAUACCGUCGUAGUCUUAACCAUAAACUAUGCCGACUAGGGAUCGGAUGAUGUUAAUUUUUUAAUGACUCAUUCGGCGCCUUACGGGAAAC